GGUACCCUCUCUCUCUCCCCUUUCUGUUUCUUCUUCGCCAAUUUCCCAGAUCCUGUCUCUCCCAAGAUGGGUUCAUGGUGAUUAAUUAAGAGGCGAAGAAAGGAAUGAUAAGAGAGAGAAGCAACGAGCUAAUUAAUAGGUGGAGAUUUUCAGAGUAAGGGAAUAGCUAGCUAAAGAGAAAGCUCUCACUCUCAUCUCAGUAUCUCACUAAGAGAGCCAGAGAGAGAGAAGGCAAACUGGGCAAAUUCUCCACCUCACUCUCUCCUUUGUAAAACUCUAGUUUCUUUCAAUCUUUCUAAUCGUUUUCCUCUGAAAGUCUCUUUCUAUCAUGCUCUCUCUUUCUCUCUCUCCUCUGUUGCUUUCUUUCUGAGGAGCAGCAAAAUCAAACAUUAGGGGUCAUUCCCAAUCGACCCAUUCGACUGAAACUUCAAUGGAAGAGGAAAUCAUUGUUCAUCUCUCCUUUAAUCCAGUGAAAAUUCUUCCAUCUAGGUCUGCCUAAUCCCAACCACCAAUAACCCUUUAUCCUACUCCAAUCCUAGUCGCCAAACUCGGCUAGCCAUCAACUCUGCAGCUUCGCCAAACUUGGGUCGUGAGAGUGAAGGACAGAAGGAAAAUAAAAACAGGAGAGAGAAAUGGAAGGAAGAUCCUCAACUUCUUGAAAUUUCAGAGUGUUGUUUUUGUAUUUGUGUCCUCCUUUUGGUUUUAAGGGUUGAGUGCAUGGAUAUUAAUUAGUCGAAUCCUAGUUUAAUAAGUCUUCAUAUCUGCUUAGAUUUUUGAGUCUUUGUUAAAUGAUAAUUUCAAUAUGUUAACAUAUUCUACUUGCUAUUUAUUGCUUUGUGUUACCUUUUCUUACUAAUGUUUGUACAGUUCAUUUGUGCAAGCAUGACAGAUGAUAUAAGAGGCUCUAUUUUCAAUAGAGGAUGAUGAUGAUUUGUCCAAGACCAAGAACUCCUUUGGGUGGAUUAAAAGAGUCUCUGUCUUAUAUUGAGCAGGAAGUUAUCUCCUAGUCAGAAUCUAUCGAACAUGGAGGUAAAGAAGCUCUUCAAUCAUUCCAAUAGCUCAAUGGAGGUAAAGAAUCUGACGAAGUUCGUUGCCUUAAAUCCAGAAUCUAGUGAAGAUGGAAGAAAAAAAGCUUUCCAAUCACCAAGUAUUCAGAGUUUGCACCUCAACGAAGACAAACCUCUCUCUAGAUCGCUGCAGAAGCUCUCUCUCUAAAUCGCAGACGAAGCUCUCUCUCUCUCGUCGAAUCAAUCUCAAUGUUCUCUCUCAUCGAAUCGAUCUUAGCAUUCUCUCUCUCAUCGAAUCGAUCUCAGCGUUCUCUCUCUCUACACUCUGUAGUCCGUAAAUUGCACACUCUCUAAUUAAUCAUUGAGCAUAUUUUUGAAUUCCUUCAGGAAGUCAUCAAAGCCAGAAUUGGAAAGACCAGAUGCGGCUUUCAAUUUGUACAAGUUUAAGGUGGCUGAUAGCUUUGUGUAUUUUGUACAACCUGGGUAUAGAGGAACUUCAGCCUCCAUAAUCUUCUUUUUGUACUUAUCUUCUAUAUUUGUACAAGAUGCACUUGCAACGCCAUCAGGAAACUGAAAGCAGGCAUCUUUAUACAUCUGAUGCGCUUCUGGCAUUUCAUAAUCCUCAUCAAGGUGAGGUGACAUUACAUAAUCAUUAACUUGUACAGAUGUGCUAGGCUCACCGUGGGCGACCCAAACUUUAUAUUUAGGAUCAAAGCCGUAUUUGAUCAAAUGUAAGAACAAGUCAUCAUCAGUUUGUGGGCUACAGUUUCCACA
Molecule: long non-coding RNA, 1781 nt
Organism: Rosa rugosa (rugosa rose)
Lineage: Eukaryota; Viridiplantae; Streptophyta; Magnoliopsida; Rosales; Rosaceae
Exons: 4
Source: RefSeq, a predicted model, not a curated record